GGGGUUGUGGCUCAGUGGUAGAGUGCUUGCCUAGCCUGCAUGAGGUACUGGGUUCAAUCCUCAAAACCACA
RNAcentral lists this transfer RNA (71 nucleotides) under Marmota monax (woodchuck). RNAcentral's name for it is "tRNA.Ala". The record is from RNAcentral. Lineage: Eukaryota; Metazoa; Chordata; Mammalia; Rodentia; Sciuridae.